GAGAUACCCAUAGCUUAAAAUGCAGGAACCAGGAGCUUUGAGCCUAGACAUUUGGAUGAAAAGUGAUUUCCACCUGGAGAAAGUCAUUGCCCUUCUGUGCAGAGGCCUGACCAUAAACUCAGGGAAAGCUGACCCCUACACCAGACCCGGAGCGCAGCCCAUGCGUGGCAGUCUCUGGAGGGAGCUCUCAAGGUCUCAGGUCUCUCUGGCUGGUCACAGUCAUCACAUAUUUGCAUUCCUAGCCCCUGAGCCUUCAUUCCUGGGUUCAUUAGAAGCCUUGGGGAGAGGUGUUCUUUAGGCGCCUCUGCUGAGGCCUCCUUUGGGUGGGGCAGGGAAGGGAGAGAAACCUUGAAGUCACUUUUCCCCACAAUGACUCAGAACCUAGUACUUCCACUCCUAGCCUUCCCCCUCCCUUGCUCUUGGCCCCAGAGUCCAUACAACUUCCAGAGCCUUUUGUUCAGGGCCCUGUCAGCAGUGAGACCACUCCAACCCCACAUUCCCGCUGACCUGCUUGACCCUGGGCCCCUGUGUGUUCCACAGGGGAAAUGGAACAGGGAGAGGCCACGCUUUCUCUGGUUUCAGAUACUUGCUUAUACCAUUGCAGGACAUGAUUGAAAGCUUGAUUCUUUUGUUUUGGGCUGGUUGCCUUAAUUGACUAUUGUGACACCUGGCAGCUCCCUCUCCCAGUUCAACUGAGUUCCUGACAGAGGGACUCCGCCUUCAACCCGCCAGGGGCAAACACUCAAAGGAUGGGCUUCAUUACUGUUGCAGGCUCUGGCUUCUCCUCAUAUGUUUCUAAUUCAUUUCUAGAUUCAAUCUCUCCCUCUCCACAUCGCACAUUCACAAACAGUAACUGCCUGAGGACCAGGAGAAGCACAGGGCCUGCCUCAUUAUUCCUCCCUUGCAUGCUGACUCUUCCACAGGGGCUGGGCAGAGUCAGCACACGCAGGAGGGGAAUCAUGAGCCAGGCCCUGGCCAGAUCCAGAUUUCUAGACAUGAGAACUACCCAAAUCCCAGAGACCCAGUUCUUCCAUCUACUUUACUGAGGAGGAACCGGGGAGUCUGAGAAGUGACUUGGCCAAGGUCACCCAACUGGAACCCAGGUCCUAAGCCUUGGGUUCGAACUCUGAUCAUGACCAGACUGCCUCCUUGAAUCUUCUUUCUACUUUCCUGGUACAGUUUCUGUGCACAGCUGAGUCCUUGGGUGCCCAGGACUAUACUAAGCCCUCUCAAGUCAGUACUUUCUAGGAGGCAGUAGCCUAACUGGGGAGAGAGGUGAGGCCAGGGGUUCCCAGACUUGAGCAGGCAUUAGAAUCAGCUGGUGGGUUAGUUAAAACACAGAUCUGCUGACCCCAUCCCAGGGCUGCUGAUUCAGUAGGCCCGGGAUGGGGUCUGAGAAUUUAUACUUCUAACAAGUUUCCAGGUGUGGCUGAUGAGAACCACUGGGCUUAACCAUAAACAACCAAAAGUAACAGAGGCAGUUAAUGGAAACUGAGCAAAGGCAGAGAAAGGAGAGGAAGGAGGGUGACAUUGUUUCUGGAGGAAAUGAGCUCCAGAGGCUGGUCCCUGGGAGGUCCUUCUCUUCCCUCUACCUUCAUCUACCCCGACUUUGGGUUUAUCUAGAAGUUUCACAGUAGCAUAUAAACUCCCCCUCUCUGCUGGAGGGCUCUGGCCAACAGGUGAAGCCAAAACCAUCACCUGUAGGAGGUUGCUUAGAGCUGGCUCCUGUCCCAACACCCUCCUCUCGGCUUCCCUGUUCACAUUGCUGCAGCCUGCACAGCUGCCUGCCUCCCAUGGAGCCUGGGGGCACCUGUCCUAAAGGCCUCGAGGAUGAAGAGUUGAGGAGGGUGGUUGUGGUGAUCUCACCCACCUCUCCCUUGAUUCCUCCAUGUACUCACGCAAGCCCUGGAAGGCCAAGGACACUGACGCUCAGAGAAAGCUAAGGGAGUGGGUACAUUACAAAAGGAUUGGGAGAGGGGGAGUGGUAAAAACUCCACAGCUCACAUUCAUUGACUCAGCUCAUCUUUCAAGGCCCCAGUUCUCCUGAGUCAUCAGUGAGCAUGGACUUGCUUCAGAGUCACUAAGGCUGAAUGUGGGUCAUUGGGAUCUAAACUGGUGUUUAAAUGUAACUGCACAGAGGUGAGUCAGACACACACACACACACAGAAAAAGAGCAAAAGAGAGAAAGAAGAAAGAAGGAGAUUUAGCUCUCUCUCAAGUGGGGGUGAAAAUCCAGGAGCGAAUCUGAAAUGAUCCACCUCUCCAAAUCCAUCCACUGUUUAAUUAGCUCCAUGUAGCUAUAGGGAAAUUGAGGCAUAACUGCUGUGUCCACUAGCCCAAAGUUGUUCCAGGGGCAGCAGCAACCUCAGGAGGAGGCCAGAGAUUGGCCAAUGGAAAGGCAGAAAGCAGAGACUCUCCACCCAGGCGGAGGCACCAGAGGGCCCAUGGAGGAAAUGGACAGCUGGCGUUAUGGUUCCCCUACGUUUUCCCAAGACUCUUCCAGCUGCCUAAUGGCCUACUGAGGCUGCUCCUUGACCUUGAGUACAAAUGGCCCUCAUACCCAAACAGCCACCUGACCAGAGCCAACCGACAACCUCCUGUGAGCUUCUCAGCCCCAGGCUGGCUCUGCAGAAAUAAGGCACAGGUUUGGAAGUGUCUCUGUUUGACCCUGGUGUUUGGUUCUCUCCCUCACAUACCGGGAACAUGAAGGAGAACCCAUCUCUGCUGCUUUUGAAGUGCAGUGGCUUUCACUUGGAAUGGAAAUCUUUACAGGUGGCACCGGGGGCUGUGCAGAGACGACCAGGGAGAAAUUCCGGACUUCUCAUGUUCUGCCUCUGAGACAGACUGUGCUGGGAAACACAAACAAUACAAAUCCUUGGUUCCAUUUUCCUCAUCCCUUCCUGGCACAUGAAAUCAAAUGAGGGUGAGGGUGACUGGGGAAUAAAGCAGGGGGAGUGAAGAGACGGGGGCCUGCUCUUAGCAGCAGGGUCUGAACUCCACCUGCUCCGGGAUGAACUGGAAAGUGCUUCUUCUCCUCUCUUCCUUGACUGAUGGCUAUGGGAACUUUAGAUGGGGGAAAUACUGAUACACUGAUCUCUCAACCAAAUAUAAUUUGUAUUAAGAAUUAAGAGUUCACAAGUUAUUCUGUCUCUCUCUCUCUCUCUCUUUUUUUUUUUUUUUUAAAGAAACAG
Molecule: long non-coding RNA, 3191 nt
Organism: Chlorocebus sabaeus (green monkey)
Lineage: Eukaryota; Metazoa; Chordata; Mammalia; Primates; Cercopithecidae
Source: RefSeq, a predicted model, not a curated record